GCAUUGGCCGCCGCCGCAGCGAGCCGGGCGCCGGCGGGGAGCGCGGCCAGCCGGGCGGGCGGCGGGCGGCGGGGCGG
This 77-nucleotide non-coding RNA is filed under the name Pan troglodytes (chimpanzee). Lineage: Eukaryota; Metazoa; Chordata; Mammalia; Primates; Hominidae. The record is from RNAcentral.